RNAcentral lists this ribosomal RNA (484 nucleotides) under uncultured bacterium. Its description in RNAcentral is "partial 16S ribosomal RNA". It matches the Rfam family "Bacterial small subunit ribosomal RNA", at positions 30 to 507 of the family's 1533-position model. The record is from RNAcentral.
AUUGAACGCUGGCGGCAGGCCUAACACAUGCAAGUCGAGCGGAUGAAGGGAGCUUGCUCCUGGAUUCAGCGGCGGACGGGUGAGUAAUGCCUAGGAAUCUGCCUGGCAGCGGGGGAUAACGUCCGGAAACGGGCGCUAAUACCGCAUACGUCCUUAGGGAGAAAGGGUGGGAUCUUCGGACCUCACGCUAUCAGAUGAGCCUAGGUCGGAUUAGCUAGUUGGUGGGGUAAAGGCCUACCAAGGCGACGAUCCGUAACUGGUCUGAGAGGAUGAUCAGUCACACUGGAACUGAGACACGGUCCAGACUCCUACGGGAGGCAGCAGUGGGGAAUAUUGGACAAUGGGCGAAAGCCUGGUCCAGCCAUGCCGCGUGUGUGAAGAAGGUCUUCGGAUUGUAAAGCACUUUAAGUUGGGAGGAAGGGCAGUAGGUUAAUACCUCGCUGUUUUGACGUUACCCACAGAAUAAGCACCGGCUAACUUCGUG